Molecule: ribosomal RNA, 511 nt
Filed under: uncultured bacterium
Lineage: Bacteria
Description: bacterial SSU rRNA
Rfam family: Bacterial small subunit ribosomal RNA
Source: RNAcentral
GAUUCUGGCUCAGGAUGAACGCUAGCGACAGGCUAACACAUGCAAGUCGAGGGGCAUCACGGGAGUAGCAAUACAACUGGUGGCGACCGGCGCACGGGUGAGUAACGCGUAUGCAACCUACCUAUCAGAGGGGAAUAACCCGGCGAAAGUCGGACUAAUACCGCAUAAAACAGGGGCACCGCAUGGUGAUAUUUGUUAAAGAAAUUCGCUGAUAGAUGGGCAUGCGUUCCAUUAGGUAGUUGGUGAGGUAACGGCUCACCAAGCCGACGAUGGAUAGGGGAACUGAGAGGUUGGUCCCCCACACUGGUACUGAGACACGGACCAGACUCCUACGGGAGGCAGCAGUGAGGAAUAUUGGUCAAUGGGCGGGAGCCUGAACCAGCCAAGUCGCGUGAAGGAAGAAGGAUCUAUGGUUCGUAAACUUCUUUUGCAGGGGAAUAAAGUGCAGGACGUGUCCUGUUUUGUAUGUACCCUGAGAAUAAGGAUCGGCUAACUCCGUGCCAGCAGCAGC